Molecule: long non-coding RNA, 447 nt
Filed under: Marmota monax (woodchuck)
Lineage: Eukaryota; Metazoa; Chordata; Mammalia; Rodentia; Sciuridae
Source: RNAcentral
AUUAUAUUCCAUGCAUGUAUGAGUUUGCUAAAAUGAAACCAAAUGUUAUGUACAACUAUAAUGCACUCAUAAAAGAAAGAAAAAGAAAGAAAGAAAGCAUUAUUCUUAGGUAGUUUAUGAUUUGACAGUUUUCAGUGCAGUCUUUCAUAUUUAAAUCUGUAAUAGAUUUUUGUUAUCAUAUGUGGGAAAGCUUGACUUUUUUUAAACCUAAUAUUCUUAUAUUUGUAGAUUUAUUUGCCAUUCAUGAUUUUUAGGUUGGUUGCUGUUCGUGUAUUUUUUUCUUCUGUUGUUCUGCUCGAUGACAAAGGCACGGGAAGCUUUGGCAUCACUCAGCACACAUUCACCUGCUCCUCAAAGUCUUGAAAUUUUGUUUAUACAAAAAUUUGUAUCAAAUGCCGGCAAGUUGUAGGGAAACUGUUAUGGGUGUGGCUGCGAAAAUGAAGACAA